Molecule: long non-coding RNA, 541 nt
Filed under: Dermacentor andersoni
Lineage: Eukaryota; Metazoa; Arthropoda; Arachnida; Ixodida; Ixodidae
Description: uncharacterized LOC126538529
Source: RNAcentral
CCGCGUCCCUCCGUUUGUGCUUCGACGCCACGGUCCUCGCUGCGCAUGUUCGCGGGGUCUCUUCCUUGCAUUCCUAGAAAUUAAUAGGCGCUUGGAGGUGGAGAAAAAAAUCACCGCGUCCGCACCCUUUCCAUUUGUGCUUCGACGCCAGGGUGCUCGCUGUGCAAGUUCACGGCGUCUCUUCAUUGCAUUUGUAGAAAUUAAUAAACGCUUGGAGGUGGAGGAGACAAUCGCCGCUUCCGCGCACUUUCCAUUUGUGCUUCGACGCCGCGGCGCUCGCUGUGUAUGUUCGCGGCGUCUCUUCUUUGCAUUUGUAGAAAUUAAUAGGCGCCUGGAGGUGGAGAAGAGAAUGGCCGCGUCCGCACCCUUUCCAUUUGUGCUUCGACGCCACGGUGCUCGAUGUGCAUGUUCGCGGGGUCUCUUCCUUGCAUUUCUAGAAAAUAAUAGGCGCUUGGAGGUGGAGAAGAAAAUCACCGCGUCCGCACCCUUUCCAUUUGUGCUUCGACGCCAGGGUGCUCGCUGUGCAAGUUCGCGGCGUCUC